Long non-coding RNA from Camelus dromedarius (Arabian camel), 807 nucleotides. RefSeq lists it as uncharacterized. The record is from RefSeq and is a predicted model, not a curated record. The transcript has 3 exons. NCBI's taxonomy places the organism in Eukaryota, Metazoa, Chordata, Mammalia, Artiodactyla, Camelidae.
CCUUCUCACUCCUCAGGAGUAAAAUUGAUCAGAAGAUGUCAUGAGCUUUCAUUUUAUGAAAUGAAAAAAGUCUUGAGAUGUUCAGCCCCUGGUGCUACAGCAACUGGUUUUGCAUAUGGAAAAAAUAAAGAACUUUCCUCCCUCUUUCACAUCCUACAUAAAAGUCAGUUUGAGAUGGAUCAUAAACCUAAACGUAAACACUAAAACAAAAAAUCUACUGCAAGAAAACUGAAGAGAAUACCUUUGCGACCUUGGCACAAACAAUGCUAGGAUAAAUUAAACGGAGACAGAAAAGAAAGGCUUCUCCCUAACUUAUGGGAAAAUGUUUUAUUUUCACUCACCGGGAGGAAUGGAUGGGCUUCUUCUGCAAACAUUCCACUUGCCACAUGGACUUGACUGUGGCUGGACUUGGUGAUAUCAGAAAGGACUGCUUGAAUGUGCUCAGAACACCUCUGGAACAAAUACCCCGUUUUAUUGCCUUAAGCCUUUAGUCCUCAUUGACUGCCAUAAAAGAAGUAAAAAGGAAAGUAGGAAUUGUAUCUACCCUUGUGUUUGAAGAAUUUGCAGUUCUCGUUAAUUCAUCCAAGUGCAGCACCUACAAUGAGAAACAGAGAACCAUUUUCAAAGGCUAUACAAGUGCUGUACACCUGAAACUGACACAACAUUGUAAACUGACUGCUUCAAUACAAAAAUAUGUAUUUUUAAAAGGCUGUGCAAAUACUACUUCAAAAGACCAGACAGCGAUACAGCGAAUCACUUUCUUGCUGUAAGUGUUAAGCCCGUACAUUUUUAUGAGCCUUCUAUGAU